RNAcentral lists this ribosomal RNA (253 nucleotides) under uncultured bacterium. RNAcentral describes it as "partial 16S ribosomal RNA". It matches the Rfam family "Bacterial small subunit ribosomal RNA", at positions 524 to 776 of the family's 1533-position model. The record is from RNAcentral.
UACGUAGGGUGCAAGCGUUGUCCGGAAUUAUUGGGCGUAAAGGGCUCGUAGGCGGUCCAUCGCGUCGGGAGUGAAAAGCUGGGGCUCAACCCCAGUCCUGCUUCCGAUACGGGUGGACUAGAGGUAGGCAGGGGAGAACGGAAUUCCUGGUGUAGCGGUGAAAUGCGCAGAUAUCAGGAGGAACACCGGUGGCGAAGGCGGUUCUCUGGGCCUUACCUGACGCUGAGACGCGAAAGCGUGGGGAGCGAACAGG